This 2907-nucleotide ribosomal RNA is filed under the name Yersinia pestis biovar Antiqua str. E1979001. Its description in RNAcentral is "bacterial LSU rRNA". It matches the Rfam family "Bacterial large subunit ribosomal RNA". The record is from RNAcentral. Lineage: Bacteria; Pseudomonadati; Pseudomonadota; Gammaproteobacteria; Enterobacterales; Yersiniaceae.
GGUUAAGCGACUAAGCGUACACGGUGGAUGCCUAGGCAGUCAGAGGCGAUGAAGGGCGUGCUAAUCUGCGAAAAGCGUCGGUAAGCUGAUAUGAAGCGUUAUAACCGACGAUACCCGAAUGGGGAAACCCAGUGCAAUACGUUGCACUAUCGUUAGAUGAAUACAUAGUCUAACGAGGCGAACCGGGGGAACUGAAACAUCUAAGUACCCCGAGGAAAAGAAAUCAACCGAGAUUCCCCCAGUAGCGGCGAGCGAACGGGGAGGAGCCCAGAGUCUGAAUCAGUUUGUGUGUUAGUGGAAGCGUCUGGAAAGUCGCACGGUACAGGGUGAUAGUCCCGUACACCAAAAUGCACAGGCUGUGAACUCGAUGAGUAGGGCGGGACACGUGACAUCCUGUCUGAAUAUGGGGGGACCAUCCUCCAAGGCUAAAUACUCCUGACUGACCGAUAGUGAACCAGUACCGUGAGGGAAAGGCGAAAAGAACCCCGGCGAGGGGAGUGAAAUAGAACCUGAAACCGUGUACGUACAAGCAGUGGGAGCACCUUCGUGGUGUGACUGCGUACCUUUUGUAUAAUGGGUCAGCGACUUAUAUUUUGUAGCAAGGUUAACCGAAUAGGGGAGCCGUAGGGAAACCGAGUCUAAACUGGGCGUCUAGUUGCAAGGUAUAGACCCGAAACCCGGUGAUCUAGCCAUGGGCAGGUUGAAGGUUGGGUAACACUAACUGGAGGACCGAACCGACUAAUGUUGAAAAAUUAGCGGAUGACUUGUGGCUGGGGGUGAAAGGCCAAUCAAACCGGGAGAUAGCUGGUUCUCCCCGAAAGCUAUUUAGGUAGCGCCUCGUGAACUCAUCUUCGGGGGUAGAGCACUGUUUCGGCUAGGGGGCCAUCCCGGCUUACCAAACCGAUGCAAACUCCGAAUACCGAAGAAUGUUAUCACGGGAGACACACGGCGGGUGCUAACGUCCGUCGUGAAGAGGGAAACAACCCAGACCGCCAGCUAAGGUCCCAAAGUCAUGGUUAAGUGGGAAACGAUGUGGGAAGGCACAGACAGCCAGGAUGUUGGCUUAGAAGCAGCCAUCAUUUAAAGAAAGCGUAAUAGCUCACUGGUCGAGUCGGCCUGCGCGGAAGAUGUAACGGGGCUAAACCAUGCACCGAAGCUGCGGCAGCGACACUUAGGUGUUGUUGGGUAGGGGAGCGUUCUGUAAGCCGUUGAAGGUGACCUGUGAGGGUUGCUGGAGGUAUCAGAAGUGCGAAUGCUGACAUAAGUAACGAUAAUGCGGGUGAAAAACCCGCACGCCGGAAGACCAAGGGUUCCUGUCCAACGUUAAUCGGGGCAGGGUGAGUCGACCCCUAAGGCGAGGCUGAAAAGCGUAGUCGAUGGGAAACAGGUUAAUAUUCCUGUACUUGGUGUUACUGCGAAGGGGGGACGGAGAAGGCUAGGCUGGCCGGGCGACGGUUGUCCCGGUUUAAGCGUGUAGGGGGAGUGACCAGGUAAAUCCGGUUGCUUAUCAACCCUGAGGCGUGAUGACGAUGCACCACGGUGCAGAAGCAGUUGAUGCCAUGCUUCCAGGAAAAGCCUCUAAGCAUCAGGUAACAUUAAAUCGUACCCCAAACCGACACAGGUGGUCAGGUAGAGAAUACUCAGGCGCUUGAGAGAACUCGGGUGAAGGAACUAGGCAAAAUGGUGCCGUAACUUCGGGAGAAGGCACGCUGGCGUUAGGUGAAAGGACUAGCUCCUGGAGCUGAAGCCAGUCGCAGAUACCAGCUGGCUGCAACUGUUUAAUAAAAACACAGCACUGUGCAAACACGAAAGUGGACGUAUACGGUGUGACGCCUGCCCGGUGCUGGAAGGUUAAUUGAUGGGGUCAGCCGCAAGGCGAAGCUCUUGAUCGAAGCCCCAGUAAACGGCGGCCGUAACUAUAACGGUCCUAAGGUAGCGAAAUUCCUUGUCGGGUAAGUUCCGACCUGCACGAAUGGCGUAAUGAUGGCCAGGCUGUCUCCACCCGAGACUCAGUGAAAUUGAACUCGCUGUGAAGAUGCAGUGUACCCGCGGCAAGACGGAAAGACCCCGUGAACCUUUACUAUAGCUUGACACUGAACAUUGAGCCUUGAUGUGUAGGAUAGGUGGGAGGCCUUGAAGUGUGGACGCCAGUCUGCAUGGAGCCAACCUUGAAAUACCACCCUUUAAUGUUUGAUGUUCUAACUCGGCCCCAUGAUCUGGGGUGAGGACAGUGUCUGGUGGGUAGUUUGACUGGGGCGGUCUCCUCCCAAAGAGUAACGGAGGAGCACGAAGGUUAGCUAAUCACGGUCGGACAUCGUGAGGUUAGUGCAAAGGCAUAAGCUAGCUUGACUGCGAGAGUGACGGCUCGAGCAGGUACGAAAGUAGGUCUUAGUGAUCCGGUGGUUCUGAAUGGAAGGGCCAUCGCUCAACGGAUAAAAGGUACUCCGGGGAUAACAGGCUGAUACCGCCCAAGAGUUCAUAUCGACGGCGGUGUUUGGCACCUCGAUGUCGGCUCAUCACAUCCUGGGGCUGAAGUAGGUCCCAAGGGUAUGGCUGUUCGCCAUUUAAAGUGGUACGCGAGCUGGGUUUAGAACGUCGUGAGACAGUUCGGUCCCUAUCUGCCGUGGGCGUUGGAAGAUUGAGAGGGGCUGCUCCUAGUACGAGAGGACCGGAGUGGACGAAUCACUGGUGUUCGGGUUGUCAUGCCAAUGGCAUUGCCCGGUAGCUAAAUUCGGAAGAGAUAACCGCUGAAAGCAUCUAAGCGGGAAACUUGCCUCGAGAUGAGUCUUCCCUGGGGCUUAAAGCCCCCUGAAGGAACGUUAAAGACUAUGACGUUGAUAGGCUGGGUGUGUAAGUGCAGCGAUGUAUUGAGCUAACCAGUACUAAUGAUCCGUGAGGCUUAACCUU